Molecule: ribosomal RNA, 450 nt
Filed under: uncultured bacterium
Lineage: Bacteria
Description: partial 16S ribosomal RNA
Rfam family: Bacterial small subunit ribosomal RNA
Source: RNAcentral
CCUACGGGUGGCUGCAGUGGGGAAUAUUGGACAAUGGGCGCAAGCCUGAUCCAGCAAUGCCGCGUGUGUGAAGAAGGCCUGCGGGUUGUAAAGCACUUUAAGCAGGAAAGAAGGGGUGAAAGUUAAUACCUUUCAUCAUUGACGUUACCUGCAGAAUAAGCACCGGCUAACUCCGUGCCAGCAGCCGCGGUAAUACGGAGCGUGCGAGCGUUGCGUGGAAUUACUGGGCGUAAAUUGAUCGUAGGCGGGUGAAAGCCCUGGGCUUAACCUGGGAACUGCGGUGGAUACUGUCGGGCUAGAGUGUGGUAGAGGGGAGUGGAAUUUCCGGUGUAGCAGUGAAAUGCGUAGAGAUCGGAAGGAACACCAGUGGCGAAGGCGGCUCCCUGGACUAACACUGACGCUGAGGUGCGAAAGCGUGGGGAGCAAACAGGAUUAGAUACCCGUGUAGUC